This 585-nucleotide ribosomal RNA is filed under the name Pleospora sp. RNAcentral's name for it is "eukaryotic LSU rRNA". The stretch from base 207 to 360 matches the Rfam family "5.8S ribosomal RNA". The record is from RNAcentral. Lineage: Eukaryota; Fungi; Ascomycota; Dothideomycetes; Pleosporales; Pleosporaceae.
ACCUGCGGAAGGAUCAUUACAAGAUUAGUAGCUUGUCUACUAUUGUGGUUUGAAAGUCUUUGGGCUUGUCCCGGGAUGAGUAUAACUCCUUCUACCCUUGAUUAUUUGAGCACUCCUGUUUCCUAGGCAGCGUAAGCUGCCAAUAGGACAACAUUAUAACCUUUUUUUAAUCCUUUCAAUCAGCGUCUGAAAAAAAUAAUAUUUACAACUUUCAACAACGGAUCUCUUGGUUCUGGCAUCGAUGAAGAACGCAGCGAAAUGCGAUAAGUAGUGUGAAUUGCAGAAUUCAGUGAAUCAUCGAAUCUUUGAACGCACAUUGCGCCCCUUGGUAUUCCAUGGGGCAUGCCUGUUCGAGCGUCAUUUGUACCUUCAAGCUUAUUGCUUGGUGAUGGGUGCUUGUCUUAGCCUCGCUGAGACUGACCCUAAAUAUAUUGGCGGCCCAAGGUGUUGGGUUUUAGAUGCAGCACAGCAAGUCUAAAACUCAUGAUACCAGGCCCCCAAAGAACAUAUUUUUUCGCUUGACCUCGGAUCAGGUAGGGAUACCCGCUGAACUUAAGCAUAUCAAUAAGCGGAGGAAAAGAAACC